UACGUAGGGGGCAAGCGUUGUCCGGAUUCACUGGGCGUAAAGCGCGUGUAGGCGGCGCGUCAAGUCGGGUGUGAAAGCCCGGGGCUCAACCCCGGGAUGCCGCUCGAAACUGGCGCGCUUGAGGACGGAAGAGGGGAGUGGAAUUCCUGGUGUAGCGGUGAAAUGCGUAGAGAUCAGGAGGAACACCCGUGGCGAAGGCGGCUCCCUGGUCCGAUACUGACGCUGAGGAGCGAAAGCGUGGGGAGCGAACAGG
RNAcentral lists this ribosomal RNA (253 nucleotides) under uncultured bacterium. RNAcentral's name for it is "partial 16S ribosomal RNA". It matches the Rfam family "Bacterial small subunit ribosomal RNA", at positions 524 to 776 of the family's 1533-position model. The record is from RNAcentral.